UCUUGUAGCAAUACAGGGAAAAGUUUAGCGGCGAACGGGUGCUUAACACGUGGGCAACCUGCCAAGAAGUGGGGGAUAGCUCGCCGAAAGGCGAAUUAAUACCGCAUGUGAUCAGAGUGGACAUCCACUCAAAAUUAAAGUCGGGGCAACCUGACGCUUCUUGAGGGGCCCGCGGCCUAUCAGCUAGUUGGUGAGGUAACGGCCCACCAAGGCUUUGACGGGUAGCUGGUCUGAGAGGACGACCAGCCACACUGGGACUGAGACACGGCCCAGACACCUACGGGUGGCAGCAGUCGAGAAUUUUUCUCAAUGGGGGAAACCCUGAAGGAGCGACGCCGCGUGGAGGAUGAAGGUCUUCGGAUUGUAAACUCCUGUCAUUGGGGAACAAUGCGUAGAUAUUAACUGUAUUUGCGUUGAUAGUACCCGAAGAGGAAGAGACGGCUAACUCUGUGCCAGCAGCCGCGGUAAUACAGAGGUCUCAAGCGUUGUUCGGAUUCAUUGGGCGUAAAGGGUGCGUAGGCGGCGCGGUAAGUCGGGUGUGAAAUCUCGGAGCUUAACUCCGAAACUGCAUUCGAUACUGCCGUGCUUGAGGACUGGAGAGGAGACUGGAAUUCUCGGUGUAGCA
Molecule: ribosomal RNA, 625 nt
Filed under: uncultured Verrucomicrobiota bacterium
Lineage: Bacteria; Pseudomonadati; Verrucomicrobiota
Description: bacterial SSU rRNA
Rfam family: Bacterial small subunit ribosomal RNA
Source: RNAcentral